AGUCGAGCGAACGGACGAGAAGCUUGCUUCUCUGAUGUUAGCGGCGGACGGGUGAGUAACACGUGGAUAACCUACCUAUAAGACUGGGAUAACUUCGGGAAACCGGAGCCAAUACCGGAUAAUAUUUUGAACCGCAUGGUUCAAAAGUGAAAGACGGUCUUGCUGUCACUUAUAGAUGGAUCCGCGCUGCAUUAGCUAGUUGGUAAGGUAACGGCUUACCAAGGCAACGAUGCAUAGCCGACCUGAGAGGGUGAUCGGCCACACUGGAACUGAGACACGGUCCAGACUCCUACGGGAGGCAGCAGUAGGGAAUCUUCCGCAAUGGGCGAAAGCCUGACGGAGCAAUGCCGCGUGAGUGAUGAAGGUCUUCGGAUCGUAAAACUCUGUUAUUAGGGAAGAACAUAUGUGUAAGUAACUGUGCACAUCUUGACGGUACCUAAUCAGAAAGCCACGGCUAACUACGUGCCAGCAGCCGCGGUAAUACGUAGGUGGCAAGCGUUAUCCGGAAUUAUUGGGCGUAAAGCGCGUGUAGGCGGUUUUUUAAGUCUGAUGUGAAAGCCCACGGCUCAACCGUGGAGGGUCAUUGGAAACUGGAAAACUUGAGUGCAGAAGAGGAAAGUGGAAUUCCAUGUGUAGCGGUGAAAUGCGCAGAGAUAUGGAGGAACACCAGUGGCGAAGGCGACUUUCUGGUCUGUAACU
Molecule: ribosomal RNA, 699 nt
Filed under: uncultured Staphylococcus sp.
Lineage: Bacteria; Bacillati; Bacillota; Bacilli; Caryophanales; Staphylococcaceae
Description: bacterial SSU rRNA
Rfam family: Bacterial small subunit ribosomal RNA
Source: RNAcentral